CAGAGGAAGGUGCAUGUGAGGCAACAUGUCCCUCUACUUUAAGUGAGUCAAAUAUAAAUUUAAUCUUUUUAACACAAUUAACUUCUUAUAAAAAUGUUCUUCGCCCGCCUGUUGUUGUUUCCCCUGCGUCUGUGUCUUGUUCACUGUCAGGUUUAUUUAUUGAUUCUGUCUGUGCUUGUUAGUUUGUUAUCUCAACCGGGCAUAAGCCUGGAGGGGAUCAUGUGUACAGUCUUCUUUGUGAGGGGGGGGGGGGGGGGGGAGGGGUUUGUGUGUGCAUCUUGCAUACUACAUUACCCAUCAGCCUGAUAUUUGUGUGAACAUUUACGCCUGUAUGCUAAAUAAAUAAAAAAAAAUACUCCAGGUUGUUGUGAUUCCUGAGAUACAGUCUGUGCAAAAGAUAGUAGAUGCUAGAUGAGGAAAGAAAACAGCUGCUCUUUGUGUGGGAGGGGAGAGGGAGGUAGGGAACAACAACAUGCCUGCACACAAACCUGCCAGAGAUCUGCUGCCAGGUCAUCUAUUUGUUCUGCUGAGCGCUUAGCAAGACAAUGCUGUAAAAUCAAAUGCACGAUUGAGGGACCGACCCUGUUGAGAUUACAUUUAAAGACAAUUAUUAGUCCCACAAAUUAUCAUUUAUUUUCAGGCAAUCAUCUAAAGCUUACAUACAGAAAUAUUGAUGUGCUUAUUUAUCAUUGUCCCGACUCAUGUGAUAUAAUUAUCAAAUCGCUGGAGUCAAAUCGUGAUACUUUAAAUUAACAAAAGCACUCUAAACAGAAUUCCCUGGAAGUUUGACUUCAGCUGUCAUUACUCCAUGACGCCUCACGGUGGCGCUUAUGACAUAAAUGAGUGUACAGUGAACAUACAGUAUGUUUUAGUGGCCAAAGAAGAUAAGAAGAUAAAAGAAGAAGAAGACAGCCGUGUAAUAUGUGACAUUGGUGAAAAGAAAGUUAAGCGAUGAAGCGUGGAAAGAGGGGAAACUUGCAUGGAAUAAAUAUAUUAAUUGUGAACUCUUUAUAUUCUUCAGUUAAAGCCUUUGCACACUGUGUCAUUCAGGGUCUACAUGACAGGAGCUUUGUGUUACCUGCCAAAGGUUUUGGGAUCAAAAUGGAAAGCUGCUCUGUAUUUAAUUUUCUUGUUUUCUUUCUCUAUCCCUCCAAGGUGAAAGCUUCCUGUGUUCUUUUGUAAAUAAUUGAAGGAAGGAAGGAUGUAAGAAAAGAAGUGAGGAAAGAAGAAAGGGAGUGAGGGAGGGAGGAAGGAAGGAAAAAAAGGAAGGAGAAGGAAGGAAGGAUGUAAGAAAAGAAGGGAGGAAGGAAGAAGGGGAGGAAGGAAAAAAAGGAAGGAGAAGGAAGGAAGGAUGUAAGAAAAGAAGGGAGGAAGGAAGAAGGGGAGGAAGGAA
Labrus mixtus (cuckoo wrasse) is the source of this 1393-nucleotide long non-coding RNA. RefSeq lists it as uncharacterized. Lineage: Eukaryota; Metazoa; Chordata; Actinopteri; Labriformes; Labridae. The transcript is spliced from 2 exons. The record is from RefSeq and is a predicted model, not a curated record.